RNAcentral lists this ribosomal RNA (252 nucleotides) under uncultured bacterium. Its description in RNAcentral is "partial 16S ribosomal RNA". It matches the Rfam family "Archaeal small subunit ribosomal RNA", at positions 474 to 727 of the family's 1478-position model. The record is from RNAcentral.
CACCGGCGUCCUGAGUGGGAAUCACGUAUUAGGUCUAAAGCGCUCGUAGUCGGCUUUGUAAAUUUCUUGUGAAAUCGUGUCGCUUAACGGCACGGCGUGCAGGAAACACUGCAGAGCUUGGGACUGGGAGGUGUCAGAAGUAUUCCUUAGGGAGCGGUAAAAUGUGAUAAUCUAAGGAGGACUACCUGUGGCGAAGGCGUCUGACAAGAACAGGUUCGACGAUCAGGAGCGAAGGCUAGGGGAGCAAACCGG